GAUACUCAUACUUCUUUUAUGGAUAAGGCUAACAAAAAUGCAGUUAACAAAUAUGAACUCCUGAGGCCUUCCUAUUGUCAUUAAGUACACGUGUGGGGAUCUAAUAAUAGGUCUCUGAUCAGUCAUAGUAUGCAUGUGUUCCUUGCCUUAAUAGUUGCACACACUCAAUAUGAAAAUACAUGUGCAUUUGCUCAGAAAAGAAAGUAAUAGAAUAAAUCAAAUGCAAAAACAAGUUUUUUUUUUAAUAUUUUUUUUUUUGAUCAAAAUAUUUCCCUUCCCCCCAACUUAAACAUUGCAUUGUCCUCAAUGUAAAAAAAAAUGCAAGAAAAUUAUAUAUUAGAGACAAUAGAGAAAAUAAUAGAUAGAAGAAGAAUACCUUGAGC
This 383-nucleotide long non-coding RNA is filed under the name Phoenix dactylifera (date palm). Its description in RNAcentral is "long non-coding RNA (PDAC_LNC013574)". Lineage: Eukaryota; Viridiplantae; Streptophyta; Magnoliopsida; Arecales; Arecaceae. The record is from RNAcentral.